UAUAAAGUGCCUGAUUAAAGGAUUAUUCUGAUAGGAUAAAUUAUGUAAUUUUUUACCUUUAUUA
RNAcentral lists this transfer RNA (64 nucleotides) under Aporia hastata. RNAcentral's name for it is "tRNA-Ile". Lineage: Eukaryota; Metazoa; Arthropoda; Insecta; Lepidoptera; Pieridae. The record is from RNAcentral.